RNAcentral lists this transfer RNA (90 nucleotides) under Microgenomates group bacterium ADurb.Bin238. Its description in RNAcentral is "tRNA-Ser". It matches the Rfam family "tRNA". From Rfam's summary of the family: Transfer RNA (tRNA) molecules are approximately 80 nucleotides in length. Their secondary structure includes four short double-helical elements and three loops (D, anti-codon, and T loops). RNAcentral also lists the same sequence under 1 other name. The record is from RNAcentral.
GGUGGGGUGCAGGAGUGGUUGAACUGGUCGCUCUCGAAAAGCGAUGUAGGCGCAAGCUUACCGUGGGUUCGAAUCCCACCCCCACCGCCA